GACGAACGCUGGCGGCGUGCUUAACACAUGCAAGUCGAACGAAGAUGCCGGAGUGCUUGCACUUUGGCAGACUGAGUGGCGGACGGGUGAGUAACGCGUGGGUAACCUGCCUUAUACAGGGGGAUAGCAGUUGGAAACGACUGCUAAUACCGCAUAAGCGCACGGUAUCGCAUGAUACAGUGUGAAAAACUCCGGUGGUAUAAGAUGGACCCGCGUCUGAUUAGCUUGUUGGUGAGGUAACGGCCCACCAAGGCGACGAUCAGUAGCCGGCCUGAGAGGGUGAACGGCCACAUUGGGACUGAGACACGGCCCAAACUCCUACGGGAGGCAGCAGUGGGGAAUAUUGCACAAUGGGGGGAAACCCUGAUGCAGCGACGCCGCGUGAGUGAUGAAGUAUUUCGGUAUGUAAAACUCUAUCAGCAGGGAAGAUAAUGACGGUACCUGACUAAGAAGCACCGGCUAAAA
RNAcentral lists this ribosomal RNA (465 nucleotides) under uncultured bacterium. RNAcentral's name for it is "bacterial SSU rRNA". It matches the Rfam family "Bacterial small subunit ribosomal RNA", at positions 28 to 502 of the family's 1533-position model. The record is from RNAcentral.